This 319-nucleotide unclassified non-coding RNA is filed under the name Basidiomycota sp. RNAcentral's name for it is "partial contains small subunit ribosomal RNA, internal transcribed spacer 1, and 5.8S ribosomal RNA". The stretch from base 1 to 47 matches the Rfam family "Eukaryotic small subunit ribosomal RNA", at positions 1785 to 1831 of the family's 1831-position model. The record is from RNAcentral. Lineage: Eukaryota; Fungi; Basidiomycota.
AAAGUCGUAACAAGGUUUCCGUAGGUGAACCUGCGGAAGGAUCAUUAUUGAAAUAAACCUGAUGAGUUGCUGCUGGUUCUCUAGGGAGCAUGUGCACGCUUGUCAUCUUUAUAUCUCCACCUGUGCACUUUUUGUAGACCUGGAUAUCUUUCUGGAUGCCUCUAAGGCAUUCAGGUUUGAGGAUUGACUUUGUUGUCUUUCUUUACAUUUCCAGGCCUAUGUUUUCUUCAUAUACCCCAAUGUAUGUUAUAGAAUGUAAUCAAUGGGCCUUUGUGCCUAUAAACCUAUACAACUUUCAGCAACGGAUCUCUUGGCUCUU